RNAcentral lists this ribosomal RNA (547 nucleotides) under uncultured bacterium. RNAcentral describes it as "partial 16S ribosomal RNA". It matches the Rfam family "Bacterial small subunit ribosomal RNA", at positions 355 to 895 of the family's 1533-position model. The record is from RNAcentral.
UGGGGAAUUUUGGACAAUGGGCGAAAGCCUGAUCCAGCAAUGCCGCGUGUGUGAAGAAGGCCUUCGGGUUGUAAAGCACUUUUGUCCGGAAAGAAAUCCUUGGCUCUAAUACAGUCGGGGGAUGACGGUACCGGAAGAAUAAGCACCGGCUAACUACGUGCCAGCAGCCGCGGUAAUACGUAGGGUGCAAGCGUUAAUCGGAAUUACUGGGCGUAAAGCGUGCGCAGGCGGUUUGCUAAGACCGAUGUGAAAUCCCCGGGCUCAACCUGGGAACUGCAUUGGUGACUGGCAGGCUAGAGUAUGGCAGAGGGGGGUAGAAUUCCACGUGUAGCAGUGAAAUGCGUAGAGAUGUGGAGGAAUACCGAUGGCGAAGGCAGCCCCCUGGGCCAAUACUGACGCUCAUGCACGAAAGCGUGGGGAGCAAACAGGAUUAGAUACCCUGGUAGUCCACGCCCUAAACGAUGUCAACUAGUCGUUGGGGAUUCAUUUCCUUAGUAACGUAGCUAACGCGUGAAGUUGACCGCCUGGGGAGUACGGUCGCAAGAUU